GACUAAAUAACAACAGCAAAUCACCACGCACUUAUGUGUCUCAGUUUCGCCUUCUAUUUACAGAUGCGCUAUAGCUGUUGCGCACUAUCCAAGAAUAAACUCCCUUGGUCUGAUGUAUGUGAUGAGUGAUGAGCUCAAAACUACUGGUGCCAUCCACUGGGUCCUCAGUCCCAGUUUGCCACCUCAUCCCUCUCCUGGUUCCUAUCCUUGUCCAAGUCCGAAAUCGACGCCUGCCAGUCUCAUCUGCUCAAGCUCUCGACACUUUUCCGUUUCCUCCUUAUUCAUAAAAAAUCUGCAUAUGGAUCCAUCUGCCUCCAACUGUUUGUUGCGGUACGGCUCUCAUUUCUAUUGCACCGGUGUUAGAUUGGGGUUGUGAGGGGAUGUAAGUUAGUGGGAGAGCGUGGUAAUAGAUAGCUCUGAAUUAUGGGUGAUGGGAAGGGGUGCGGUCCCACCCGCAAUUCGAAGGCAAUUUCUAAUGAACUCCUGCCACCCUGCAGAAACUAUAUUCAAGAAAACGACAAGUUGUUGUGAUUUUAUUUUGGCUAGAAACAGCAUAAUCAUAAUUACAAGACCACUGAAAACCCUUUUAGAUCAAAAGAUGACCACUUUCUUUAAGAUGCUCCUUUAGCUUAAGUUUUAUCUGCUUUUAUCUGUUAUUUUUCAUCCACUGUCCUGUAAUGUUGAACAAACCACACUUUGAAUUCUAAUGUGAUCUAUUUUUUUUAUUCCUUUUCCUCUUUAUCUUAUCCCAAUACCCCAGGAUUGUUAUCAGCCUCUGCAAGUGACUCUGUAAUUGUGCUCAUCCAGAAAAAAAAGGCCAAGACACCAAGAAUCCUUCACUGUUGGUUAUUUGCUCAUUUAGUGUUAGAGGCAACCAUAACACUCUAUCAAAGUUUAAUUAUGAAACUUGUUCCUUUAGCAUGUCAUGAAAUGGUACUAAAUUGUUUUUAUUGUUCUUGUCUGAAACGUUUUACUCUUUGGAGGACAAAUACUUUGGAAGUAGCUUUAUUGGUUGAAUAGUUCCUAUGUAAUGGCUUGAAGCAUCUAAAGCAGAUCCAAUCUGACAACAAUCUCGUGACAUUAAAGGAGAGCCAUGACUAUUUUAUUAAGCUAUAAUUGUGUUUUAUGGUUAAACAUCUUGCUAAAAUGG
RNAcentral lists this long non-coding RNA (1150 nucleotides) under Oryzias sinensis (Chinese medaka). RNAcentral's name for it is "lncRNA (ENSOSIG00000000483.1)". Lineage: Eukaryota; Metazoa; Chordata; Actinopteri; Beloniformes; Adrianichthyidae. The record is from RNAcentral.